CCCUGCCAUUUGUACACACCGCCCGUCGCUACUACCGAUUGAACGGUUUAGUGAGAUCUCGGGAUCGGCCCGCCGUGACUGGCAACAGUCUGGCGGGCUGAGAACUUGCCCAAACUUGAUCGUUUAGA
Molecule: ribosomal RNA, 128 nt
Filed under: uncultured eukaryote
Lineage: Eukaryota
Description: partial small subunit ribosomal RNA
Rfam family: Eukaryotic small subunit ribosomal RNA
Source: RNAcentral